GCAUUCACUUUAAAUAGGGCUCCGUCGAAAUCCGUUGAAACGACACCGCAUGAAUUAUGGUUUGGGAAGAAACCUAAGCUAUCGUUUCUGAAAGUUUGGGGAUGCGAUGCUUAUGUCAAGAAACUUCAACCUGAAAAGCUCGAACCCAAGUCGGAAAAAUGCGUCUUCAUAGGAUACCCUAAGGAAACUAUUGGCUAUACCUUCUACCUCAGAUCCAAAGGCAAGAUCUUUGUUGCCAAGAAUGGAUCCUUUCUGGAGAAAGAGUUUCUCUCGAAAGAAGUAAGUGGGAGGAAAGUAGAACUUGAUGAGGUACUGCCUCUUGAACCGGAGAGUGGCGCAGCUCAGGAAGAUGUUUCUGUGGUGCCUGCAUCGACUAGAGAGGAAGUUAAU
This 390-nucleotide ribosomal RNA is filed under the name Triticum aestivum (bread wheat). RNAcentral describes it as "partial small subunit ribosomal RNA". The record is from RNAcentral. Lineage: Eukaryota; Viridiplantae; Streptophyta; Magnoliopsida; Poales; Poaceae.